Molecule: unclassified non-coding RNA, 459 nt
Filed under: Hevea brasiliensis (rubber tree)
Lineage: Eukaryota; Viridiplantae; Streptophyta; Magnoliopsida; Malpighiales; Euphorbiaceae
Source: RNAcentral
GCUUUAGACGGCCAUGUUGCUUGAGCAGACAUAAUUAUGCCUACAAUCACUCCAAACAACCCCAGCGCGCUGCCGAAGAUUUCAAUUACCAGAAUCUUAACAAAGAGAGAGGAGUUCUGAGCAUCAGAGAGUGCACAGCUGCUUCCAAUAAUCCCCACACAGAGCCCACAUACAAGGUUAGCGAAACCCACAAUGAUCCCGGAAGCAAAGAUUGCAUAUCCAGCCCUCAUAGACUCUGCAGCAUAUAGCUGAGAUGCUGGCACACUUUCUAACUUCGUCUGUAAUAUGAUUGCAACAAUAACGCCGUAUAUGGCAACAGCCUCACAGAAAAUAACACUGAUGAGAUUCUUAGAAGUGAUCCUCGGAGCUUUGAUCGCCGCACCAAUCAAGCUACUCCCCGUUAUGUAAAUUCCCCAAGCAGCGCCGAGGACGGAGACGCCGAUCGAGAUCGCGAUCCCG